Molecule: unclassified non-coding RNA, 346 nt
Filed under: soil metagenome
Description: partial contains 5.8S ribosomal RNA, internal transcribed spacer 2, and large subunit ribosomal RNA
Rfam family: 5.8S ribosomal RNA (bases 1-119)
Source: RNAcentral
GAUGAAGAACGUAGUGAAAUGCGAUAAUUAAUGUGAAUUGCAGAAUUCAGUGAAUCAUCGAGUCUUUGAACGCACAUUGCGCCCCCUGGUAUUCCGGGGGCAUGCCUGUCCGAGCGUCAUUGCUGCCCUCAAGCACGGCUUGUGUGUUGGGCUUCCGUCCCUGGCAACGGGGACGGGCCCAAAAGGCAGUGGCGGCACCAUGUCUGGUCCUCGAGCGUAUGGGGCUUUGUCACCCGCUCCCGUAGGUCCAGCUGGCAGCUAGCCUCGCAACCAAUCUUUUUAACCAGGUUGACCUCGGAUCAGGUAGGGAUACCCGCUGAACUUAAGCAUAUCAAUAAGCGGAGGA